UCCCUCUCCAAGACUUAUCAGCUUGUGGCCUAGGCAAGCCUCUCUGUGCCUCAGUUUCCAGAUUUGUCAAACAUGGUUAACAGCAUUCAACACACAGGACUGUUGUACCAAUUAAAUCAGAAGGAUCUCUAUGAAACUUUCUGCAGUGUCUAGCACUUAAGGAUGCUAUAAAUUCUAGUUGUUAAAUUGAUAACUAUAUUAUUACAAGCAUAAAAUGUUAAACUGAACUCUUCUUGAAAAGCAGCGACUGCGUGUGGGCACCCAAACACUGGAAUCAGCCUCAGAUCAGGAAACUUCAAAGUUAAGGGUUAAUUGGAUAAUUGGAGACUAGAAAGAUCCGUUUGGCACUAUAUUUAGCUAAAAUAGAAGAGUUCCUUCUGUAGUCACAAGUGCCUCCUUUUGCUCCCCUUUUCCUUCUAUCCUUAGCUGUCCAUUCCAAUCUUGCCAGUUUUCAAAGUUCAGUAUGAUUACAAUCUACUUAGUAGUCCUUUCUUUCCCACUCCCCAAGGAUCACUAUCUUCCAGCUGAGAAACACAUUCUUCUACUUUUGUUUAGAGUUUAACUGCAGCCUGACUCCUCAUUCUGUUCUUUAAGUGGUGGUUGGUGAAUUAGUUCCUUAACUAACUCAGUACCUAGGAAGGGUUUCUGCUUAGCUCCCCGCUCUACUUCCUAUGCCUACAAUAGUGCUCAGCACCAGGGCAGAAUCUCAACAACCCUGGUUACAUAGAUGAAUCUGGAGGGAAGACUCUUUUAGCUUCCAUUCCUUUUUCUUGAGCUAUAAGGUGUAGGUGGUAGCAAACACUGGUGAUAAUUCCUGCUUCCCAUCAUGAUAGAAAAACUCCUAACUAAAGAAAACAGACUAUCAAAAUAUGAUCACCAAUCAUCUCAGGAAGCGAUAGAUCAGUUCUGUUUAUUAUUAGUGCUUUUGGAGUUGAAAUCUGUG
Molecule: long non-coding RNA, 943 nt
Filed under: Marmota monax (woodchuck)
Lineage: Eukaryota; Metazoa; Chordata; Mammalia; Rodentia; Sciuridae
Source: RNAcentral